UACGUAGGGGGCAAGCGUUGUCCGGAAUCAUUGGGCGUAAAGCGCGCGUAGGUGGCCCGGUAAGUCCGCUGUAAAAGUCCAGGGCUCAACCCUGGAAAGCCGGUGGAUACUGUCGGGCUCGAGUCCGGAAGAGGCGAGUGGAAUUCCUGGUGUAGCGGUGGAAUGCGCAGAUAUCAGGAGGAACACCGGUGGCGAAGGCGGUUCUCUGGGCCUUACCUGACGCUGAGGAGCGAAAGCGUGGGGAGCGAACAGG
RNAcentral lists this ribosomal RNA (253 nucleotides) under uncultured bacterium. RNAcentral's name for it is "partial 16S ribosomal RNA". It matches the Rfam family "Bacterial small subunit ribosomal RNA", at positions 524 to 776 of the family's 1533-position model. The record is from RNAcentral.